GGCGUCAUGGUCUAGAGGUAUGAUUCUUGCUUUGGGAUUACUGAAUAAGUGCUCAAACCUGCAAGAGGUCCCGGGUUCAAUCCCCGGUGACGCCC
Sodiomyces alkalinus F11 is the source of this 95-nucleotide non-coding RNA. NCBI's taxonomy places the organism in Eukaryota, Fungi, Ascomycota, Sordariomycetes, Glomerellales, Plectosphaerellaceae. The record is from the annotation of a RefSeq genome assembly.